This is a long non-coding RNA of Callithrix jacchus (white-tufted-ear marmoset), 1881 nucleotides long. The record is from Ensembl. NCBI's taxonomy places the organism in Eukaryota, Metazoa, Chordata, Mammalia, Primates, Cebidae.
AUGAAGCUGGAACAUUCCUUCCUGCAGGUGCUGGUCUCCUCCUCCCUAUGGCUGGGGAAAAGUGACCUGGCUGCCCACCUGGCCCUGGCUCACCCAUUCAAUGCCUCCUGGCAGCAAGCUGAGGCAAGUGGCCUUGCUGAGAGCAGGUGUGGCAGGCAGAACUGGCAGGUACAGCUCACCUGGAACAGAGGACAGCCUGUGACUCUGCAACUCGCCUGGGCAGACAGGUUCUCAGCACACAGCACCACCUGGGAUGGCUGCCUGGCUGCCUCCCCGGGGCAGGUUUGUGGAGUCUGGCCGCUGUGCCCAGUGUGGGGCUCCCCUUUGCUACAGGCUUCUUGGCUGCCCCUCCCCCCCACCCCCAGGUCAUGUACCCUAUUGUUUUCCCUAUCAGCUCCAGGAAACUUUGGGCCUGGACCCCCUCCGGGCCUGUGGGGCCAUAAUACAGACCCCAGAUAUGUUCAUUGAACAGCUCGAACGGUCCUGGGGCCAGCAGCGCAUGCGGCAGAACUUGACAUAUAAGGUCAGGUCUGGGGAGCAGUGUCCAGGCAGGGAACCCCCACACGGCUCCACAUGCUGCAGGAGUGCCCCGCUCUGGGACUGUGUGGUCUUGAGUUCCAGUGCUUGUGGGACCCUGGGCAACUCACUUCUCUGCUGUGCAUCUUGGUUUUCUCACCUGUGAAAUUGACACGAUACUCCCUUCCUACCUGGGAUGUGGUGAGGGCUCUGGAAGACAAGAAAAGCAUGUGUUUCCAGCAUAAUAUGCUGGAAACAGAUGGGGAAGGAGGUGGGGUGCUAGUGGGCUUCUCAGGAGGAGGCAGAGGGAGAUCAGGAGCUCAGGUUCCUGGAGGCAUCAGGGACCAGGUCUCCUCCAGCAUCACUACUCGAUGGGCUCCUCAUGGGGCCGAGCACUGUUCUGCAGAGCCUUGGGCAGGAACCCGCCCAUGAAGAACCAGCCCUGGAAGCCCCUUUCCUCUUCUGGGCCUCCCAUCUGGGUUCCUGGGGCUCUUAGACCCAGCCCCCUAAGUGCUCACAGCAGAAAUCCUGCCAUGGUCAGGGUGCAGUGGCUCACACCUAUAAUCCCACCACUUUGGGAGGCUGAGGCGGGAAUCACCUGAAGUCAGGAGUUUGAGACCAGCUUGGCCAACAUGGUGAAAUGCUGUCUCUACUAAGAAUACAAAAAAAUUAGCUGGGCAUGGUGAUGUGCACCUGUAGUCUCAGCUAUCUGGGAGGCUGAGGUGGGAGAAUCACUUGCACCUGGGAGGUGGAGGUUGCAGUGAGCCGAGAUUGUGCCAAUGUACUCCAGCUUGGGCUACAGAGCAAGACUCUGUCUCAAAGAAGAAGAAGAAGAAGAAAAUCCUGCACCAGAGUAUAAGGGAGUGCUGUGGCUGAUGAGGGCUCAGAUGGUGGAUUCCCAGCACAUGUUCUUGCUAGGUGAGGGUCUCCACCUGCAGCUGGCCAUGGGCAUUCUCUUACAUGAUGAGCUCCUGACACAUGGGCCCUCAUUCCAGAGGCAUCGGCCAUCUCAGCCAGACAAGAUGAUCAUGGAGGCCAUGCUGGAGCACGUCCUCAGGGACUCUUGUGUCCAGCAGAGCUUCUGGGGAGAAGUACAGACUGACUAAGCACACUGGCUGCGGCACUCCCUCCACCUAGGGCUCUGUGACCUGCCCAGGGUGAGUCUGCCCUGGGGAAAGGGGCAGCUGGAGGACCAGGGACCCAUGGUGAUGGGGCAGUAUGGAGGGUGGUGCCCACAGAAGGCAGGGGUGUGAGCCAGGCAGCCAGACGCCAGUAUGGUGGCUCUGCCAUUUGCCUGCUGGGUGACUGGGCAGGGCACAUCUCUCUGAGAUUCCAGUGUUUCAUCUGAGGAAUGGAAGCAGCAGC